GACGAACGCUGGCGGCGUGCUUAACACAUGCAAGUCGAGCGGAAAGGCCCACUUGUGGGUACUCGAGCGGCGAACGGGUGAGUAUCACGUGAGUAAUCUGCCCUUCACUUCGGGAUAGCCUUGGGAAACUGAGAUUAAUACCGGAUAUGAUUUCUGCCUGCAUGGGUGGGGGUUGAAAGUUUUUUCGGUGGAGGAUGUGCUCGCGGCCUAUCAGCUUGAUGGUGGGGUAAUGGCCUACCAUGGCUUUGACGGGUAGCCGGCCUGAGAGGGUGUUCGGCCACACUGGGACUGAGACACGGCCCAGACUCCUACGGGAGGCAGCAGUGGGGAAUAUUGGACAAUGGGCGGAAGCCUGAUCCAGCAACGCCGCGUGAGGGAUGACGGCCUUAUGGGUUGUAAACUUCUUUACUAUGCGACUAACUAGAUUUACGAGAUAAUUCUAUAGAAUGUAGCAUAGCAAAAAGCACCGGCUAACUCCGUG
This 481-nucleotide ribosomal RNA is filed under the name uncultured bacterium. RNAcentral describes it as "bacterial SSU rRNA". It matches the Rfam family "Bacterial small subunit ribosomal RNA", at positions 28 to 507 of the family's 1533-position model. The record is from RNAcentral.